Molecule: ribosomal RNA, 510 nt
Filed under: uncultured bacterium
Lineage: Bacteria
Description: bacterial SSU rRNA
Rfam family: Bacterial small subunit ribosomal RNA
Source: RNAcentral
CCUAACACAUGCAAGUCGAACGAGGUAGCAAUACCUAGUGGCGGACGGGUGAGGAAUACGUAGGGAUCUGCCUUUAAGUGGGGGAUAACCCGGGGAAACCCGGAUUAAUACCGCAUGAUCUCGCAAGAGCAAAGAGGGGGACCGCAAGGCCUCUCGCUUUUAGAGGAACCUACGUCGGAUUAGCUAGUUGGUGAGGUAAUGGCUCACCAAGGCGACGAUCCGUAACUGGUCUGAGAGGAUGAUCAGUCACACCGGAACUGAGACACGGUCCGGACUCCUACGGGAGGCAGCAGUGGGGAAUAUUGGACAAUGGGCGAAAGCCUGAUCCAGCAAUACCGCGUGUGUGAAGAAGGCCUUCGGGUUGUAAAGCACUUUAAGUUGGGAAGAAAAAGCUUCACCUAAUACGUGAAGCCAUGACGGUACCGACAGAAUAAGCACCGGCUAACUCUGUGCCAGCAGCCGCGGUAAUACAGAGGGUGCUAGCGUUAAUCGGAUUUACUGGGCGUAAAG